This 372-nucleotide ribosomal RNA is filed under the name uncultured eukaryote. RNAcentral describes it as "bacterial SSU rRNA". It matches the Rfam family "Eukaryotic small subunit ribosomal RNA", at positions 53 to 396 of the family's 1831-position model. The record is from RNAcentral.
UUUAGUCAUAGCAUGUAUAAGAAUAAUCUGUCUGGCAUUGUGAAAGUGUGAAUGGCUCUUUAAUUCAGUUUUAGUUUCGUUGAUGGUACUCUGCUACUCGGAUAACGGUAGUAAUUUUAGAGAUAAUAAGUGCACAAACUCCCGACUGGCCCCCUUCGGGGGUGGUUGGAAGGGACGUAUUUAUUGGAUAAAAGGCCGAUGCGGGCUUGUCCGGUGUUGCGGUGAAUCAUGGUAACUUGUCGAAUCGCACGGCCCUUUGCGCUGGCGAUGUUUCAUUCAAAUUUUCCCCCUCUCAACUUUUGGUGGUAGGAUAGGGGCCUCCCCUUAAAGAAGGGGGGCGGAGAAUUUGGGUUAGACUCCGGAGGGUGAACC